AGUGUGUGGCUUACUGGGCCUCCGGCUCUGGGAAGGGGUCUGCGAGGCCCCCGGGGCCGCGGGGCCGCUGCUGAAGGCCCUGGCCCGGGCCCCCACCACGUCACUUCAGUGUGCCGUCGACUUGGCCCCGGAGGAGGGCAGGCCGGCCGUCCUGCUGGUUUGCCAAGGAGGAAACCUGUGGUGCCAAGGUGGCCCAGGGACAAAGCCGGCUACAGAGCCAGGGGGAGGGCGUCUGGGUCCAGCCGUCUGACGGCAGGAAAGAAAGGGCCAGGAGAGGAACAAGCCCAGCGCGGGUGGAGGGACGGCGGCUGUGGCGGAAGGGCGGCUGGGGGGGCGGGGGCCGGCCCCUGCCUCCUCUCCCGGGCUCAGCCCUCAGGACCACGAGCCCAGCACGGUCCUCUCAGACCUUCUCCUGCGGGGGGCGGAGCGGUGCUUAGCCCUGCAGAAGGAGCUGAAGUCUGCCGCCCCCGCCGUGGGCCGGUCCUCCCCCAUCACGGGCCCUGGGCACCCUUCCCAAGCUGGACACACACCCUCCCUGCUGUGGGAGUCGGGGCUCUGGAGCCAAAUUCCCCUGCGCUGGGAUGCGAAGGGGCUGGGGGAGGAGCUAUAAGGGGCAGCGGGCCCCCAGGGAAGACCCCUCCAGCGAGCGGCCCUCACCACGCACACAGACGCUUCCCCCACUUCUGCCUGGGAGGGAGCCUGAAGGCAGGCAGGUGCUGCCAGCCUGCCCAGAGCUGGGGUGAGAUCAACCAGCACCCCCAAGGCCCCUGGCUCGCCCAGCUCUGCCGCCAGCCAAGGAGGGAGGGAGGGUAAAUAUUUGUCAAGGCAGGAGAGUCUGCGAAGGGUGAAAAAGUCAGGUACUAUAGCUGCGCUGCGGCGGAGGGCUGGGGGGAGGUUCUGAGAACCGGUACCGGCACCGCCUGAAGCCGCCCCCCACCCCGCCCUGACCCCCAGUCCAGUCUCCUUCCUUUCGUCGCCAAAACGACCGACCCACGGUCAGCCCCGGAUGCCCGAGGCUUUGGAGGCGCCGAGCGCCAUUCCCCUCCGGUGACCCCAGUCCCUGGCGACACAGCUCGAGCCAGGACGAGCGCGGGCCGACGGCCUCCUCCAGCGACACCCCUAAACCGAGCGUGGGAUCUCCGGGAACCCUGCAGGCCCUCCUUCUUCCGCCCGCCCGGCCCGGCCAGGCGCGCAGCUGGAUCGCGCGCCCUGCACGCGGCGCAUCCCUGGGCAGGAGCAGGGCCGGGGCGGGCCGGGCGGGGCGCGGGCCGCCGGGCCUCCCGCCCGCU
Molecule: long non-coding RNA, 1289 nt
Filed under: Bos grunniens (domestic yak)
Lineage: Eukaryota; Metazoa; Chordata; Mammalia; Artiodactyla; Bovidae
Description: lncRNA (ENSBGRG00000023118.1)
Source: RNAcentral